GUUAAUUUGUGGAAUCAGCUUUGUAACAGCUUCUGACCUGGCUGAGGCCUUCUAAUGAAAACUGGCCUCUAGACGUAGUAGUUCCCGCAACUACUACCCGAGAGGUUCCCGUGCCCGAGAGCCUGGCGGCUGUGACCGCGAAGAACGUUGGUUUAUAGCAUAUUUCCCUCCAGUUAAUCUGUGAAAGAAACUUAAAAUCAGGUUAUACUUUGGACUUGACAGAGUAUCAGUGUUCUCGCUGUUAUGCUGCUUAGAAGGAUCUAAGCAAAUGGCUGUUCAGUGACUUCAAAAGAAUCGAGACAGUUUGAAGAACUUGCUUUGACAGACCUGUUAUAUCUCAUUUAUAAUAACACGCUUAGAGCCGUGUUUGUCUAAGAGCACCUCACACGGAGGCAGUACUGCGUGGAUGCUCCACUGGAAACGCCGGCAGGCACAGCCCUGGGAGUUUAGGGCGCCAGACGCGACACCUCCUGUCUCUUCAGAAAUGGCAUCUCUUAGUCACGUGGGAAAUACUAUUCCUUUCGUAAAAUCUCUCGAGGCUUCUGAAGAGCUGGAGAGGUUUCUGUGGACAGUGGCUCAAGGUCAGUGCUUUGACCUUUUCCUGAGGUUCAGAGUUGCUCAAGUGAGAUGAAUCCUUUGCCAGAAAGAGCUAAGAGUGAGUGCAAAUAUGGAAUACGUCUUUACCUUUUUGCCGCAGCUUUGGCCACAUGCACCUGAGUUCACUUUGCCACUCAAGUUCAUAGCGGUGGGUGUGUAACAGGGUCACCCAGGAGCUGGGGUGUUCCAGUGUCGCUCCUUCAGGUCGCUGUAAGUGGCGGAGGCUUAGUGGGGGUGGGGAUGGGGUGCUGCACGAGGGUCCAAGGAGAGGCAUCGAGGGGCGUCUUCUGAAGUUUAACAGUCAAUGUGAAUAACAAACAUCCCCUUACCUUUUCUCAUAGAGGCUUUAAAAAGCCAGGCGUAUUAAUUCUGAAAAUAUUUUAGACUAUUUAUCAUGUGUGAGGCUUCCCAAGUCCUUUUGUUGGACCUGGGAACAGUACUGCCUUUCUUUAGGGGCAGAAGAGCCCCGGGUCUUCCCUGAACUGAAGGGGACCCUCGGUAGGGGAGAAAACCACGGUGAUCCCUAACUUUAAAUCCAUAAGGCUUAAAAUUAGCAGGAAUCUCAGAGAUAUAAGCCAGUCUCCUCGCUUUAUAAGGGAAAAAAUGGGCACUCAGAAAUGCUAAGUUUGUCCAGGUUAGAGACAGACCCUUGAUAAGAAUGCUUAUACUUUUAGCUGCCUGCUUACUCCUUUUUCUACCACCCCACCCCCACCAUCCCACCCCACAUCUUCCCGCCCAUACCACACCGCCCACACCACACCGGUCGCAAGCUGGACACUCUGGAGUGCCUUCAGGAAGGUGGGGAAGGGUGCCUCCAGCCUGUGCAUUCCCGGAGGCCAGGGGUAGAUUCCAGCCUAGAUUGGGGUGGGUGUAGAUAGCCAGGCUCCACCUGCUUUGACAUUUUACCUUAUCCCCCUUCGUCUCUGACCCUCUGCCGCAACCCCCCCCCCCCGCCCCCACCACUGCCCUGCCAGGUUCAGCAUUUGCCCUGGAUAGGUGUUCGUGUUAUGUAGCUUUGAAAAAAUAUAUGGUGGCCUUCAUUUGCGUGUUUUAAAUUUUAGCCCGAAGACUUUGAUUUCAUUUUGGGAAAGUAUUUGAAUUAAUUAAUGAAUGAAGAUCAUGCACUAUUGGUUUUGAGAGUGGAUAAUGAAGUUUGUGAAGUCACCCUGUGAGCUCUGAGGUUCUGCGGCUGUCACAGGGGUGAGUGCUUGUGAACACCUUGUCCCCCUGCCACUCUGCUCAUGUGGUAAGGGCAAGACAGUUCUUACCAGACAGAAUCAGAACGAGAACGGAGAAGACUCCAGGCACAAAGCUGUUGCCACUUUUGUCUUCGGUAAUAAAGGGGGGGACAAGUGGCCUUUUGAGUUGGCUGUGACCUCCCUGUGUGUCUGCCUCCCUCAGGCCAGGUGAGACUAGACAGGUGGGAGUUGUCUCCCAGCUCAUAAUCUUUGCUACAGCACAGGGUCCAUUCCUCAUUAUUGUCACAGCUCUUCCUGUGGAUUUCUAGAUCACCCAAUGGAGGAGAGGGAUAUUACUCCUGGAAACAUCUCUCCUACCUUGAGGCUUGCAUUAGUUCAGCUUUGAGAGAAGGGCCUGAUUUUGUACUUACUUACAUUUAUUUUUAACGUUUAUUUAUUUUUGAGGGACAGAGCAUGAGCAGGGGAGGGGCAGAGAAACAGGGAGACACAGACUCCGAAGCAGAUGCCAGGCUCUGAGCUGUCAGCACAUGGGCUCAAACCCAUGAACUGGGAGAUCAUGACCCGAGCUGAAGUCGGACGCUUAGCUGACUGAGCCACCCAGGCGCCCCAUAGAAGGGCCUGAUUUUAAAUCAAAAUUCAGUUGCUGUGUCCUUGAUUGAAAAGGAAGAACAAGUCACUUUGGUUUGCUUGGUUUUAUUCCUUCUUCCCUCCCCACCUCACUUCCCCAUCUGGUUCUUCAUAUUAUCCUGAGGUCUGUCUGUCUGGGUUGUGCUCGAAGCUCUGAUCACUAAAGAGCUGUCUGACCUUCACCUCCCUGGGCCUCAUUUUCCUCAUAUGGGAAGUAGGAAUAAUAAUGGUGCAUAGCAAGGAAGUUCCAGAGAUUAAAUGCAGCGAUGCGAGCAAGGCGCCCAGAACUUGUUCCUGGCCCUUCAAAGCAGCUCUGAAGAUGGGAGCUACCGUUCUCAUUUUUUUCUUCCUCUUCCUCCUCUUCCCACUGUCCCAGGUGGAUGGAAAAGCUAAAUGAGCAGCAAACUGAAAGUUGCUGUAGCAAGAGAAUUGAGAUUCUUUUCUGGCUGCUCUUGGCUAUCCUUGCAGUAUUUGGCAUGAGUGUGUCUUGUAUUGGUGAGAGCCAAAGGGGCUUUUCAGAAAGACCUGUUGCCCGGCCCUGCCCUUGGCUCAUUGUGCGUCCUCCCCAGCCUCACAUGUGCCAUCCUGUGUCCAUCACAGGGCCCAGCAAAGGGCAAUGUGGAACACCAGUAGCUGGUAUGCUGGGUUCAGACCCGGUGGUACCGGAAUGCUGUGUUCAGUUAAUUCAGACCGAUGAGACUGCUUUUCACAGGGGCACGGAGGAUACUUCUCGCCUUACCUUCUGUGAGAGAUGGGCUUUGUUCCUGUGUUCCUUCCUCAGUAGCUUUCGUGCCUUCAAAUAAGGAAAGGGUGGGGGAGCCUGAGUGACUCAGUCAGUUAAACAGCCGACUCUUGGUUUCGGCUCAGGUCAUGAUCUUGCAGUCGUGGAAUCGGGCUCUGCACUAACAGUGCAGAGCCUGCUUGGGAUUCUUUCUCCCUCUCUCUUUCUCUGCCCGUCCCGGCUUGUGCGUGCAUGUUAUCUCCUUCCCCCCUCCCUCUCUCCCUCCCCCUUCCUCGCCCUCCCUCUCCCUCCCUCCCUCCUUCUCCCUCUUUCAAAAUGGAUUAAUAAAACUUAAAAGAAAAUAAGGAAAAGGAGAAUGUGCUUCCUUGGAGUGAGAAACUAUAGCAAUCCCAUUGUUUUGCUGAUUAUAGUAUUACACAAGCUAAAUGCAGGCAGGCCGAGCUGGAAAGGGAGAAGCGGAAAGCAAAAUGAUAAGAAAGCAGGGAUGGGGGGGGGGGGCUCUUCACUGCUCAUCCCAGCACAGUUGUCCAGCCAAAGAGGUGCCGGCUGCUCCUGCAGCUGGGGCUGUGGGGCAGCUCCCUUGCGGGGAUGGCCCCAGAGUACCACCAUCUGCUGCAAACUCUAUCAGGGUUUUUUCGGCCAAAAUCACCGUUCGGACCCAGACUGUUGGUCGUGCCUUCUUGCUAAGUAGCAGGAAUCUCUUUUGCAGAGAUCUGGGGUUAAUUAUGGUGGGGGUCAGGAGGUAGGAGAACUUAACAAAACUUUGUCUUUUUUUGAUUCUUGUAAUUGUGAAAGUAAUUGGAGUGCAUUAUCACAAAAUCAACACAGAGUGUUUAAAGGAAAAGAUUGUGUCCCUUCUCCUAUUCCAAUCUCCCCGUCUAUGGGUAACUAGGUGGCCACUGUGACACAUGGGUGUGUCUGUGCUGAUGCCAUUGUGUGUGGGUUUCUUUGUUUUCUAAGGGUUUCACAUUCUACAUAUUAUGCUGCAACUUUUUUAAAAAAAAUUCAAUUUGUGGAGAAGUUAGUAUACAAAAGUUUUACCUUUUUAUUUUGGCAGUCUGAUAGUCCAUCAUAUGGACGUUCCACAGAUUAUCAGCCAGACCUCUAUUAGCCUUGAAAAUAAGGGGAUAGUUUGAAAGUCUGGUUAACAAGCCACUUGCCUCUUCCCCUCCAUUGGAUGAAUCCCCUUUCCCAGCCCUUUAGCAUUUGGGUGGGGGAUUGUCUCCAUAAAAACUGAGCAGGAGUUUGUAGACUUGGUCAGGCACUGAGACAGGAGGAUCAGACAAGAGGAUCAGACAGGAGUCUGUACUGUACCAUGAGGCUCCAAACUUCCUUUCCUGUUCUAUUUUGGAAUUCCAGGGGUAGAGGCAAGAGUUUAGAGGAUCUUUCUUUGAAGAAACUGAGCUACUACAGAGGAAAGACCUAUAGAUACUAACAUUUGGUCACCAAUGAAAAAUCUCUCUAGCACCUCUGUUACCAAAUUCCAAAUAAAAUAUCAGCUAACCACUCUCAUAGUAUAUUGAGAACAUACAUAUCACAAACAAAUACUAUUUUUGCCCAAAAUGCAAGGAUGGUUCAACAUCAGAAAACCUGUUUUAUCAAUAGACCAAAAGAGGGAACACAUGAUUUCACUUGAUACAGAAAAAGAAUUAGGUCAUUCAGUCCAUUUUAUGUUUUAAAUUCUCACUAAAUAAUGAUAAAAGGAACUUUCUCAAUUUGACAAAAGUUAUAUAACAAAAAUCUGUAGCAAACAUUAUAUCCAAUGGAAAAAACUUUCUUUAACUUAAUAAUGGAGAUCCUGAUCAACAGGUUAAGGAAAGAAAAAGAAAUUAAAUGUAAGAAUUGGAAGGGAAGAGAUAACCCUUUUUGUUUUCCUCAUGAUGUUAUCAGAUAUAAGAUGAAUCUAUAAUAUCAGAUUGUAUUUCCCAAUGUCUGCAUUAACUGACUAGAAAUUUAAGAAAUAAUAACAGAACAAACCAUAAAGUGUCUGGUAUUUAACUGAAGCCAUUUGUAGACUCUCUACUGGAGAUCUAAAUAAAAGGAAAGAUGUUCUGUAAUCUUGCAUGAGAUCCAAUAUUAUAAAGAUGAUAAUCUUUCCUUCUGAUUGAUUUAUAAAUUCAGUGCUAUUCCAGUAACUAUGGAGUAAUAGAUUACCCCAAAACUGAUGAGCUUAAACAACAGUAAUCAUUCUCACUAUUUUGUGAACCAGUAAUUUGCACCUCUGCACAUGACUAGUUGAGGCAGAUACGAAGAUCACUCUACAUAGAAGGGAAAGGAACAUAGACCCCAUCUGUCGAUUGAGGGAUGUUAAUAUCACAUUGUAGAAAGAGUGUGUGGGGUGAGAUAUAUAUUGGCACAACUAUCUUUGGAAAAUAUAGUCUGCCACAAGUGCAGUUCUCCUUGGGACUCUAACUGGAUUUUUUUUUAAAUCUUUUAUUGAUAAAUGCAUUUGAAGUAACAAAGUCAACUUUUAGAAAAAAGAGAAAAGGGGGACUUUUACGCCAGAUAUUAUGAGCUAUCGAACUAUAGUACUAAAAGCAGUUAUAGUGUCUAUGCAAGAAUAGGUAAAACAGACAAAAAUGGAAUGAAGAUCUCAAAGAUAGACCCAUGUAUCAGUGGGACCAUAAUUUGGUAUAAAGGGGCACCGUGAAUCUGUGAGGAAAGGGUGGAUUGCACAUUAGAUAGUGUUAGGAUAAUUGACUUACUAGAUGGAAAUACAUAAACCGGAUCUCCACAUAAUGUCACAUAAAAUUCUAGAGGAAUUAAAAGACCUAAAUGAGAGUGGUAACACCGCAAAAUUAAUACAGGUCCACCUUUUCUUAUACACAAAUCUGAAACCCAGAAAACUCUGAAAACUGGAAGCUCUUUCAUAACCCACAUGGCAGCAAAACUUAGUUGAGAUUAGGCUGUUUAUUUGUAAUCAUUUAUUUAUCCUGCUUGUGUGAACAUCACAGAUUUCAUUGCAGUUUUUUAAAAAACUUAUAAAACUUGCAAAUAUUCAGAAAAAUUAAAAUGAUAUCACAGUGGACACCCACAUAUCUAGUACCUGAACUCAACACUUAGCAUUUUUGCUGUAUUUGCUUUAUCUAUAUAUGUGUGUAUAUAUAUAUAUAGAUUUUUCUGUUCUUUCUUUCUUUCUUUCUUUCUUUCUUUCUUUCUUCCUGCUGAACCAUUUGAAAUAAGUUGCAAACAUUGUGAAACUUUACAUACUACUUACUACUACAUAUAGGUAGUAUAAGAGAAAGGACAUUGAGAAAGGACAAGAGAAAGGACAUGCCCAAGAGAAAGGACAUUUUCCUACAGAAUCACCAUAUAAUUGUCACACUUUUAAAACUUAACAGCAAUUCCAUAAUAUCAAUACCCAAUCCAUAUUCAGACUUCCCCCAUUUAUCCCCAGAAUGUUUUUCCCCCACUCAAUAAAUGUUUAUUGAGCAUUGGAACAUUAUUUAUUGUUCAUUGAACAGUGUGUAGUGAACAUUAUUGAACAUCUGCUAUUAUAAAUCACUAUGGAAAAUACAAAAAUAAAUUUAAAAAACUAAAUAAACUAGGCAUGUUCACUAUCCUCAGGAACAAUCUAGUGUGGGAGAUACAAACAUACACAUAAUAUACACAUACACAUACACAAAAUAUCAUGCAAGGCAGACUGCAGAUAAAACUCUGUAAGACAUAGGGUCAUUGAUUCCUUCUGGAAGGGGGUUCCUCCCACUGUAGCAUGUUGGGAGAACUGCCAACUCCCUGGUCCUAACCCAGAUCCCCCUCUGCUCAAUCUUCAGAUUCAAAUUUGAAGGAUAUUUGGUUUCAGACCAAAAAUAUAUUUGUCAGCUGUCUUUACUGAACUAAGAUUUUUAGUCAAGGUUCAUGCAUUACAUUUGGUGGUUGGUCUGUUUCUUUAAUUUCUCUUGAUUCACAGCUCUGUGUGUGCAUGUGUGUGAUACUGACAUCUUAUAAAGACCAGAACCAACUGACUUACAGAAUGUCCCUCAUUCUGGGUUUGUCUGAUUGUUUCCUUGUGGUAUCAUUUACUCUGUCUAUACUUUCCCUGGUAUUUCUUUAUAAACUGGAAGCUGGGUCUAAAGGCUUGAUUGAUUUCAGCUUAAACAUUUUGGUGAAGAAUGUAGGUGUUCUUGCUGCAUACUUUGUAUUGUAUCACAUAAGGAGAUAGGUACUGAAUGUCAGGUUUUUCUACCAUUACAGUUCUGUUAAGUUUGAUCAUAUGGUACGAUCGUGACCGCCAAGGCUUCCCCUGGUGAAGGUAUACUUUUUCCCUUUGCAGUGAGCAACUUACUACCAGGGCUAUUGUGACUUGCAGGUGUCCUCUUCUCUGGCAACAGAAUGAUUUUAUCAUUCUAAUGAUAAAAUUUAAUGGUUUUCAUAUCUAUUGAUGAUCCUUGCCUGAAUCAAUUAUUUCUUUGGUGGGUCACUUCAAAACUGUAAUUAUGUGGGGCUGUCCCAGACGUUAAUAGAGGCAUUGCAUAACAUCACCUUUCUUAAGUCUGGAACAGUCUCAAUUCCAAAACUCCCAGGCCCCAAGGUUUGCAGAUGUGGGAUUAUAAAGAAGUAGGAGGAAAAGUAGAAUGUCUUUGUGUCACAGGAACAAGGAAGAACUUUUUCAAGCACAAAAAGGCAAAAACGUAGUUGGUAUUUAAAGCCUCCAUACUCAGAAGGGAGAAGAUGUAGAAAGAGAAUAGUAGAGGGUCAGGACUGAGCCGUGGGCAUCAACUAUUAUCCUGGGGUUGGGAGGAAGAGGAGAAAACAAAACAGGAGACAGAAGGAGCCACUAGCAGGGUGAGAGGAAAGCCGAAAGAGUGCAGCACGGAAGCCAAGUAAAGAGAGCACGUCAGAGAGGAGCGCUGGCCUGGCCUGUGCCCCUGGGAGAGCCCGUGCAGAUGAGGACCCAAAAGCGACUCGUAGGUUUGGUGGCACCAGGCCAGCGGUGCCCUUGAUGAGCCAUUUUGACGGAGUGGUGAAGGCAGAAGUCUCAUGGAGGUGGGUGUGGGGUGAGAGGGAAGAGGCAUUAACAAGUAUGGACAACCUUUUGGAGGAGUUUGGAUGCAAAAUGAUGAAAAAAAAAAAUGAGAGAUAGCUGUCAGGGGAAGCUGAGUCAAGAGAAGGCAUUUUUCCAAAAUUGCUGAAAUCCCAGCAUAUUUGUUUGCUGAUGGGAAUGAUUCAGUAAAGAGCAAAAAAGUAAAACAGCCACAUUCCGAAAAUCAUGAUCCACGUUUCACGAGCACACCUGUAAAGCGGGGUGUGCACGUAAAGUACAUUAAAGGGUACCUCCUGGAGCAGAAGGUCUGCAGGGAGGCGAAUGGAAUGACUUGAGGGCGAAAGGAAACGAGAUGGGCCUUGCACAGGCCCGUGGGCCAUGAACUGUGGGCUGUGUUAAAUCGGCUUGGCAACCAGAGGGCAGGAACAAAGAUCAGCAAAGAGCAGCGUGAUGUCUCUGACCUGUUGCAGUGACACCACCAGUCAGCCAGCCCCCCACCCACAGACAUGUGAGGUGACAAUUAGGUCACUUGUAAAGUCUCACAAUGCUCCCUUUCCCUGGAAACUGCCGAUGGAUGCCCUCCAUCCUAAGGAGGGAGCAAACCGAGAAAGAGGAAAACCUGGAAUCCCGGGAAGGGGAUCUAGCAAAGGAGGAGAUGUUGUACAGCUGGGCCUCUUUCACACAGUUCCAUGAAGUGUGAUAUUCAUUCAUCCAGCAGAUAUUUUCAAGAGUCUGUCAUAUGCCAUGGUCUGGGAACACAGCAGGAAAAGAAAAAGACUCUGCCUUCAAGGAGCUUAUAUUGUAAUGGGGGUGACAGAUAGCCGGCGCAGCGGUGGUGAAUGCUAAGAAGAAAAUACAACACAUUGGUCUGGG
Long non-coding RNA from Panthera uncia (snow leopard), 9022 nucleotides. RefSeq lists it as uncharacterized. The record is from RefSeq and is a predicted model, not a curated record. The transcript has 2 exons. Lineage: Eukaryota; Metazoa; Chordata; Mammalia; Carnivora; Felidae.